UCUAAAUCAAUGGCUCUGAUACUUCAGAAUGGCUCUACCAAUCCUUGAGCAAGACUGCCAGGAAGGGGGUAUUUAUCUUCCAGCAGGUAUACAUCACUAAAGCUUCUCCAGUGCACUAUCUACAAUUAUGCAUGCAAUCUUUACAUCCUAACACGUGGUUGCAGGCUAUCAGUAUACUGUUAUUUGUGAGGCAAAUGGAACAGAACCAUUGAUAACAAGCAGCAAACAUGACCUAUGAGAUUAUGUAUGCACCCAUCCCCAAG
Molecule: unclassified non-coding RNA, 263 nt
Filed under: Hevea brasiliensis (rubber tree)
Lineage: Eukaryota; Viridiplantae; Streptophyta; Magnoliopsida; Malpighiales; Euphorbiaceae
Source: RNAcentral